RNAcentral lists this ribosomal RNA (428 nucleotides) under uncultured prokaryote. RNAcentral describes it as "bacterial SSU rRNA". It matches the Rfam family "Bacterial small subunit ribosomal RNA", at positions 355 to 774 of the family's 1533-position model. The record is from RNAcentral.
UGAGGAAUCUUGCGCAAUGGGGGAAACCCUGACGCAGCAACGCCGCGUGAGUGAAGAAGGCCUUCGGGUCGUAAAGCUCUGUCAGAUGGGAAGAAACGGAUGGGGGCUAAUACCUGCCAUGUUUGACGGUACCCUUAAAGGAAGCACCGGCUAACUCCGUGCCAGCAGCCGCGGUAAUACGGGGGGUGCAAGCGUUGUUCGGAUUUACUGGGCGUAAAGAGCGCGUAGGCGGUUCGAUGAGUCGGAGGUGAAAUCCCUCGGCUUAACCGAGGACCCGCGUCCGAUACUGUCGAACUUGAGUGCAGGAGAGGAGAGCGGAAUUCCCAGUGUAGCGGUGAAAUGCGUAGAUACUGGGAGGAACACCGGUGGCGAAGGCGGCUCUCUGGACUGUCACUGACGCUGAGGCGCGAAAGCUAGGGGAGCAAACA